ACCGUCGUCGACUUUUCGUGGUUGGUGGUUGAACUUCGAUUUUAAGUAUUUAAAUAAAAUGAAAUCUGUUCAUUCUCCGACACAAGAAGUUCACGCAAAGG
Molecule: non-coding RNA, 101 nt
Organism: Drosophila melanogaster (fruit fly)
Lineage: Eukaryota; Metazoa; Arthropoda; Insecta; Diptera; Drosophilidae
Gene: mir-973
Source: Ensembl